RNAcentral lists this ribosomal RNA (253 nucleotides) under uncultured bacterium. RNAcentral describes it as "partial 16S ribosomal RNA". It matches the Rfam family "Bacterial small subunit ribosomal RNA", at positions 524 to 776 of the family's 1533-position model. The record is from RNAcentral.
GACAGAGGGGGCAAGCGUUGCUCGGAAUUACUGGGCGUAAAGGGCGCGUAGGCGGGAUGGCAAGUCGGUCGUGAAAGCCUUCGGCUCAACCGAAGAACGUCGGCCGAUACUGCCGUUCUUGGGGGAUGCAGAGGAGACUGGAAUUCUUGGUGUAGCGGUGAAAUGCGUAGAUAUCAGGAGGAACACCGGUGGCGAAGGCGGGUUGCUGGGCCGAAACUGACGCUGAGGCGCGAAAGCGUGGGGAGCAAACAGG